Molecule: ribosomal RNA, 313 nt
Filed under: uncultured eukaryote
Lineage: Eukaryota
Description: partial 18S ribosomal RNA
Rfam family: Eukaryotic small subunit ribosomal RNA
Source: RNAcentral
CCCUUAGAUGUUCUGGGCUGCACGCGCGCUACACUGAUACUUUCAGCGAGUCCACCACCUUGCCUGAGAGGGUGGGGUAACCUCUGGAAAGUGUAUCGUGAUGGGGAUCGAUUAUUGUAAUUAUUAAUCUUCAACGAGGAAUUCCUAGUAAGCAUGUGUCAUCAGCCCGUGCUGAUUACGUCCCUGCCCUUUGUACACACCGCCCGUCGCUCCUACCGAUUGGGUGAGCCGAUGAAACUCUCGGAUGUAGGCUAUUCAUAGCCCGCAGAAGAGAUUUGAAUCGUAGCGCUUAGAGGAAGGAGAAGUCGUAACA